Molecule: ribosomal RNA, 465 nt
Filed under: uncultured bacterium
Lineage: Bacteria
Description: partial 16S ribosomal RNA
Rfam family: Bacterial small subunit ribosomal RNA
Source: RNAcentral
CCUACGGGAGACAGCAGUAGGGAAUUUUCGUCAAUGGGCGCAAGCCUGAACGCGCGAUGCCGCGUGAGUGAAGAAGGCCUUCGGGUCGUAAAGCUCUGUUGCGGGGGAAAAAAGGCAGCAUCAGGAAAUGGGUGCUGACUGAUGGUGCCCCGCCAGAAAGUCACGGCUAACUACGUGCCAGCAGCCGCGGUAAUACGUAGGUGGCGAGCGUUAUCCGGAAGGAUUGGGCGUAAAGGGUGCGCAGGCGGUCCUGCAAGUCUGGAGUGAAACGCAUGAGCUCAACUCAUGCAUGGCUUUGGAAACUGGAGGACUGGAGAGCAGGAGAGGGCGGUGGAACUCCAUGUGUAGCGGUAAAAUGCGUAGAUAUAUGGAAGAACACCAGUGGCGAAGGCGGCCGCCUGGCCUGUUGCUGACGCUGAGGCACGAAAGCGUGGGGAGCAAAUAGGAUUAGAUACCCUUGUAGUC